Molecule: long non-coding RNA, 1990 nt
Filed under: Eucalyptus grandis
Lineage: Eukaryota; Viridiplantae; Streptophyta; Magnoliopsida; Myrtales; Myrtaceae
Description: long non-coding RNA (EGRA_LNC002810)
Source: RNAcentral
GUAACAGAUUAGACCUCUGUGUUUAGGUCAGAAAAGAGGUCGUGUGACUAUUCUAAUCCGGUGAUUACAGAUCAAUCUUUUUUGAUAUAGAAAUUGUUUCACGAUAUGAUAGCACUUUGGAUAAGUUUUUUCGAGUUUGCCUUUCACUUGAUAUGCUGUUUAAAUCUAAGCAUGAAAUGGCACUUAGCAUAACUUUCUGCCAGUUCACCUUUCACCAUUAGAAUGGCAUGUUCAUCAAUUGACAGUGUCUCAGGAUCUAGUUCUUUUCUUUCACUACAUUCAGCUUCUUUCAAAUCGAUUUCUCAAGAUUUAGAUUCUCCUUUCCCUGCUGAAUCUGGAAGAUAUUAUCUUUUUUUGUCAUUUGCUUGUCCUUGGGCAUGCAUGUGUCUCACACACAUGAAGAGUAGAGGACUUGACAAAAUCCCUGGGCAUACUGGUACUUGCAUAGUCAGUUUCUGAGUUCACUCAUGCUAUUUUUAUUUGAUCAGUUUUGAGUUAAAUUAUCUUAGAUACACGUGUAUCGGAUGGAUUCUCCCACAAUUCCAAAGAACCUGAAGCAGAGCCUGAUUCUACUUAUGGAGGCAAAAGUAUCAGAGAACUGUAUGAGCUUGCAAGUACAAACUACUGUGGAAAAUACUCCUGUACAUGUGAGUAACAUUUAUUGCAGUGUUCGUUUCCGCUAAUACCUAAUGCGUUUUAAGCUUGCAAGUUAUAGUGCUACAUAUGUUCUGCAGAUUAUGGCAGAUUUUAUUGGAUAAAAAGCUGCAAUUGUUUGAAAAUGAGAGCUCCAUGAAUUUUGCAUGCUUAAUUCUAAGCUCCUUAGUUUGGCUGAUAAUGGAGACUUUGAUCUUUAUCCUCCUCACUGCAAGCCCAAAGCGAAGGAGCUAACUAAUGGAUGCAUGACAGUAUAAACAUUGGUGCUUACAAGUGCAGGGUUGCAAAGCAGCAGGUGCCUUAUGAAGUGGUACUUCUCCAUCACUGUAAAUUAUCGGCCUCUAUAUUUGGAAUAGCAAUUUGCAUGCUUUUUAGUUAUUAUGAUCAGAAUGGUAGCACAUCCCUCUUGUUUGCUGUGGACAACAUGUUGAUUGUAGACUAGUAACUGACAUGUUGAACCGAGUUCUCCUCCUCUCUUCUGCUCUUAACUUUUACAGGAUUGUGAUCUAUGACUGAGUGAUAAUGUGGAAAUCAAUGAGAUGAAAAAGCAACUUGGUUGAAUUUAAUAGACAGCUAUAUUAGUAAUACUGAGAAGACUUUAAUUUGUGAAUGGUUUUAAAUUAUGUAAUAGUUCUAUGGGACAACCUAUUUUAUCAACUUCUGCUAAGAAGCAAAUGAUCUUAUGCACAAGUGACAUUGAAUUAUUUCUGGACAGAUUUAUUUUUCUGUUUUGACAGGCAGUUUUGGGGCUUGAAGUCAACCCUGUUAAAAUAAAUUUGACUCUCACAAGUUCCUUGGAAGAUCAAACAGCUGUUGAUAUUUUGGGUUGUAAACUUGGAUAUUUUCCUAUAGGAGGGAUCACUAGAAUGAUUCAUACUCUAAGUACUAAGAUUAUCAUGCCAUAAUAUGAUAAUUGUAUAUAAAUGAACCUCUUCAUCAAACAAAAGAAGGGAAUUAGUGGUAAUUUCUUUAGGAACAAAGAAAGCUAUCUGUCACAUGAAAGAGAUGCAAAGGAAAUAUUUUUCUCGUGUUAACGAUAACUAAGGAGGUAAAAAAUUCAAAGGAAGUUUAAAAAGUAGACCUCUGGGAAGCUGGAUUCUCUCACCAACAGAUUAGACCCCUGUUCCAUUGUCAGAAAAGAUGCAAUGUUUCAAUGAUGUGAUUUCUUGAUGAUAGUAUUUGUAUGGAAGUAUCAUUUUCAUAUUGAAUUAGCUUUAUCUCCAUGGCCAAAUUUGGACCCUUCAGUUCAUGGUUCUGGACUUAUGUGUGUGCUACUUGUGUAAGAAGUUUCAAAUGACAUAAGGGCGGAUGUUCUUGCUAGGUAGUAUGAUUUUAU